AUUGAACGCUGGCGGCAGGCCUAACACAUGCAAGUCGAACGGUAACAGGAAGCAGCUUGCUGCUUCGCUGACGAGUGGCGGACGGGUGAGUAAUGUCUGGGAAACUGCCUGAUGGAGGGGGAUAACUACUGGAAACGGUAGCUAAUACCGCAUAACGUCGCAAGACCAAAGAGGGGGACCUUAGGGCCUCUUGCCAUCGGAUGUGCCCAGAUGGGAUUAGCUAGUAGGUGGGGUAACGGCUCACCUAGGCGACGAUCCCUAGCUGGUCUGAGAGGAUGACCAGCCACACUGGAACUGAGACACGGUCCAGACUCCUACGGGAGGCAGCAGUGGGGAAUAUUGCACAAUGGGCGCAAGCCUGAUGCAGCCAUGCCGCGUGUAUGAAGAAGGCCUUCGGGUUGUAAAGUACUUUCAGCGGGGAGGAAGGGAGUAAAGUUAAUUCCUUUGCUCAUUGACGUUACCCGCAGAAGAAGCACCGGCUAACUCCGUG
RNAcentral lists this ribosomal RNA (490 nucleotides) under uncultured bacterium. Its description in RNAcentral is "partial 16S ribosomal RNA". It matches the Rfam family "Bacterial small subunit ribosomal RNA", at positions 30 to 507 of the family's 1533-position model. The record is from RNAcentral.